UCUACUGCAGCAUGUAGCCUUGAACUUCAAUCCCUGGAAGACUUCAUAGACCUACUGGUGAAAAUGCUUAGGAUGGAUCCCAGGCAAAGGAUUACACCC
Thalassophryne amazonica is the source of this 99-nucleotide long non-coding RNA. RefSeq lists it as uncharacterized. Lineage: Eukaryota; Metazoa; Chordata; Actinopteri; Batrachoidiformes; Batrachoididae. The transcript is spliced from 3 exons. The record is from RefSeq and is a predicted model, not a curated record.